UUACACAAAUAUGAAGGCGGGCUGGAACCUCUCGGGGUUACAGCCUUGCUGAAUUAUUCACCCUUGUCUUUUGCGUACUUCUUGUUUCCUUGGUGGGUUCGCCCACCACUAGGACAAACAUAAACCUUUUGUAAUUGCAAUCAGCGUCAGUAACAAAUUAAUAAUUACAACUUUCAACAACGGAUCUCUUGGUUCUGGCAUCGAUGAAGAACGCAGCGAAAUGCGAUAAGUAGUGUGAAUUGCAGAAUUCAGUGAAUCAUCGAAUCUUUGAACGCACAUUGCGCCCUUUGGUAUUCCAAAGGGCAUGCCUGUUCGAGCGUCAUUUGUACCCUCAAGCUUUGCUUGGUGUUGGGCGUCUUGUCUCUAGCUUUGCUGGAGACUCGCCUUAAAGUAAUUGGCAGCCGGCCUACUGGUUUCGGAGCGCAGCACAAGUCGCACUCUCUAUCAGCAAAGGUCUAGCAUCCAUUAAGCCUUUUUUUCAACUUUUGACCUCGGAUCAGGUAGGGAUACCCGCUGAACUUAAGCAUAU
RNAcentral lists this ribosomal RNA (529 nucleotides) under Alternaria sp. Its description in RNAcentral is "eukaryotic LSU rRNA". The stretch from base 169 to 322 matches the Rfam family "5.8S ribosomal RNA". Lineage: Eukaryota; Fungi; Ascomycota; Dothideomycetes; Pleosporales; Pleosporaceae. The record is from RNAcentral.